Molecule: ribosomal RNA, 730 nt
Filed under: uncultured bacterium
Lineage: Bacteria
Description: bacterial SSU rRNA
Rfam family: Bacterial small subunit ribosomal RNA
Source: RNAcentral
AACAGGAUUAGAUACCCUGGUAGUCCACGCCGUAAACGAUGUCGACUUGGAGGUUGUGCCCUUGAGGCGUGGCUUCCGGAGCUAACGCGUUAAGUCGACCGCCUGGGGAGUACGGCCGCAAGGUUAAAACUCAAAUGAAUUGACGGGGGCCCGCACAAGCGGUGGAGCAUGUGGUUUAAUUCGAUGCAACGCGAAGAACCUUACCUACUCUUGACAUCCAGAGAACUUAGCAGAGAUGCUUUGGUGCCUUCGGGAACUCUGAGACAGGUGCUGCAUGGCUGUCGUCAGCUCGCGUUGUGGAAUGUUGGGUUAAGUCCCGCAACGAGCGCAACCCUUAUCCUUUGUUGCCAGCGGUUAGGCCGGGAACUCAAAGGAGACUGCCAGUGAUAAACUGGAGGAAGGUGGGGAUGACGUCAAGUCAUCAUGGCCCUUACGAGUAGGGCUACACACGUGCUACAAUGGCGCAUACAAAGAGAAGCGACCUCGCGAGAGCAAGCGGGCCUCAUAAAGUGCGUCGUAGUCCGGAUUGGAGUCUGCAACUCGACUCCAUGAAGUCGGAAUCGCUAGUAAUCGUAGAUCAGAAUGCUACGGUGAAUACGUUCCCGGGCCUUGUACACACCGCCCGUCACACCAUGGGAGUGGGUUGCAAAAGAAGUAGGUAGCUUAACCUUCGGGAGGGCGCUUACCACUUUGUGAUUCAUGACUGGGGUGAAGUCGUAACAAGGUAACC